GUAAUGUAUGGGGAUCUGCCCGAUAGAGGGGGAUAACUACUGGAAACGGUGGCUAAUACCGCAUAAUGUCUACGGACCAAAGCAGGGGCUCUUCGGACCUUGCACUAUCGGAUGAACCCAUAUGGGAUUAGCUAGUAGGUGGGGUAAAGGCUCACCUAGGCGACGAUCUCUAGCUGGUCUGAGAGGAUGAUCAGCCACACUGGGACUGAGACACGGCCCAGACUCCUACGGGAGGCAGCAUG
RNAcentral lists this ribosomal RNA (242 nucleotides) under uncultured bacterium. RNAcentral's name for it is "partial 16S ribosomal RNA". It matches the Rfam family "Bacterial small subunit ribosomal RNA", at positions 110 to 353 of the family's 1533-position model. The record is from RNAcentral.